GGGACACAUUAGUCUCUUCUGAUGUGCAAUUCUUGCAGUCUUAGAAUCACAAAAUCACCAAAAGUCAUUGCAUGAACAUUUUCCAUCUUUAAAAUGAUGAUACCUAGUGGCAUCUCGCACAAUAAUUUCUCUAUGCACAAUACUGCUUAGUAAUUUGAAAACAGUAUGGCAAUCUCCACAAACGCGAAGAUUUUUCACUAUGCGUAUGACUGUUCCUGGAACAGACUUAAGUAGGCCAUAAGCCACAGCAGUUCUCUCACUAUGCCAAAAAAGCUGCCUCUCUUUCUCUACUUCUUCCAUGUCAUGUAAAACAGAGCUAGUAUCAGGAACAUAACCUCUUCUUCUCAUCUCUCCAUCUAACUCCUUAAGCAAACUAAGUAUUUCAUCCUUCAUAGGAUGACAUGUCUCCCCAGCAUGGAACGCUUGGAUUUCCUUCCCAAAGGUGAUGGUACUAAAACCUGGUUCCUUUUUAACUUCCCUAGCUGCCAUCAACUUCCUAACCAUUGACAUACGUUCCCACAUACCAGCACCAGCAUAAAUAUUAGACAACAGAAUAUAGGUCGAAGGAUCUUCAGGAUUCAAGCUCAACAGCUUAUUAGCAAUCCUUAGCCCCAUUUGAGUAUUUCCAUGGUGCUUGCAAGCACUCAGUAAAGCUGCCCAUGUAGGUUCAUCAGGCUCAAACGGCAUCGCAGAAAUGAGAUUCUCAGCCUCAUCAAGGCACCCAGAUCGGCUAAGAAGGUCCAACAAGCAUGUGAAGUGUUGCAAGGAGGGCUUAAUUCCAUAGUCUUCGGUCAUGGAUUUAAAAAGUUCUCGGCCUUUGCUAACUAACCCAGCAUGGCUGCAAGAAUAAAUCAAUCCAACAAAGGUUACUUCAUUUGGCUUCACCUUAGCUAAAACCAUGUCAUCAUAUAAAGCUAAUGCUUCAUCGGCUCUGCCAUGCUGAGCUGCUCCAACUAUUAUAGAUGUCCAAGAAACAACAUCUUUAUGA
RNAcentral lists this unclassified non-coding RNA (988 nucleotides) under Hevea brasiliensis (rubber tree). The record is from RNAcentral. Lineage: Eukaryota; Viridiplantae; Streptophyta; Magnoliopsida; Malpighiales; Euphorbiaceae.